Clupea harengus (Atlantic herring) is the source of this 390-nucleotide long non-coding RNA. The record is from Ensembl. Lineage: Eukaryota; Metazoa; Chordata; Actinopteri; Clupeiformes; Clupeidae.
GAUCCGUAGUCCAUGACCUCACUGGGUUUUAGUUGGAUUGUAUGAUGGUCUUUUUCUGAUUGGUGGACAGUACUAUAGUCAAAAUCAACAGUGAUGUUUGAUUGGACAAGGUGGUAAUCCAGCUCUGAGAUGAUGAGUAAUUGGUCAACUGUGUGAUUGCUGUGGGUCCAUGCUGAGGGGUGAUUGGUUGACUGUGAUUUCUGUGGUUUGUGCUGAGAGGUGAUUGGUUGACUGUGUGAUUGCAGAAGUCUGUGCUGAGAGGUGAUUGGUUGAGUCUUUGAUUCGUGAUCUCUGUGCUGAGAGUUGAUUGGUCGACGGCUUUGACGCAACUGUAGUCUGAGAUCUCUGCAGAACCCCGAACGGAACCCUACCGGUCCACAGAACCCCAAA